GGCUCCGUAGCUUGGAGGAAAGAAGCGCCCGUUUAGCGAAUUGAGAAUCGUGGGUUCGAUUCCCACCGGAGCGC
This is a non-coding RNA of Aedes albopictus (Asian tiger mosquito), 74 nucleotides long. The record is from Rfam. Lineage: Eukaryota; Metazoa; Arthropoda; Insecta; Diptera; Culicidae.